GUGCUGCAUACAAUGCUCUACCCCCACCCCAGCACAAGAGCUGCACUUAACCCAGAGCAUCUGAGUUGCCAGCUGCCAUUAAAAGAGCUGAGCCUGAGCUGGGUACAGCCUAAAGAGCAGUUUCCUUUCAGCUACCCAUUCAUGAGGAUGCAGACAUUUGUCAUCAGGCUGUUUUUUAAGAGCUAA
Molecule: long non-coding RNA, 186 nt
Filed under: Coturnix japonica (Japanese quail)
Lineage: Eukaryota; Metazoa; Chordata; Aves; Galliformes; Phasianidae
Description: lncRNA (ENSCJPG00005008127.1)
Source: RNAcentral